GACGAACGCUGGCGGCGUGCCUAAUACAUGUAAGUUGAGCGCUGAAGGUUGGUACUUGUACCAACUGGAUGAGCAGCGAACGGGUGAGUAACGCGUGGGGAAUCUGCCUUUGAGCGGGGGACAACAUUUGGAAACGAAUGCUAAUACCGCAUAAAAACUUUAAACACAAGUUUUAAGUUUGAAAGAUGCAAUUGCAUCACUCAAAGAUGAUCCCGCGUUGUAUUAGCUAGUUGGUGAGGUAAAGGCUCACCAAGGCGAUGAUACAUAGCCGACCUGAGAGGGUGAUCGGCCACAUUGGGACUGAGACACGGCCCAAACUCCUACGGGAGGCAGCAGUAGGGAAUCUUCGGCAAUGGACGAAAGUCUGACCGAGCAACGCCGCGUGAGUGAAGAAGGUUUUCGGAUCGUAAAACUCUGUUGGUAGAGAAGAACGUUGGUGAGAGUGGAAAGCUCAUCAAGUGACGGUAACUACCCAGAAAGGGACGGCUAACUACGUG
Molecule: ribosomal RNA, 497 nt
Filed under: uncultured bacterium
Lineage: Bacteria
Description: partial 16S ribosomal RNA
Rfam family: Bacterial small subunit ribosomal RNA
Source: RNAcentral